UACGUAGGGGGCUAGCGUUGUCCGGAAUCAUUGGGCGUAAAGCGCGCGUAGGCGGUCAGGUAAGUCCGGUGUGAAAGUCAAAGGCUCAACCUUUGAAUGCCGCUGGAUACUGCUUGACUUGAGUCCGGAAGGGGCGAGUGGAAUUCCUGGUGUAGCGGUGAAAUGCGCAGAUAUCAGGAGGAACACCAAUGGCGAAGGCAGCUCGCUGGGACGUUACUGACGCUGAGACGCGAAAGCGUGGGGAGCAAACAGG
RNAcentral lists this ribosomal RNA (253 nucleotides) under uncultured bacterium. Its description in RNAcentral is "partial 16S ribosomal RNA". It matches the Rfam family "Bacterial small subunit ribosomal RNA", at positions 524 to 776 of the family's 1533-position model. The record is from RNAcentral.